Molecule: ribosomal RNA, 498 nt
Filed under: uncultured bacterium
Lineage: Bacteria
Description: partial 16S ribosomal RNA
Rfam family: Bacterial small subunit ribosomal RNA
Source: RNAcentral
ACGCACGCUGGCGGCGUGCUUCACACAUGCAAGUCGAACGGGCCCGCUCUCUUUUUUGGGGGUGGGUUGAGUGGCGAACGGGUGAGUAUCACGUGAGUAACCUGCCCCCUGCUCCUGGAUAACUGCUUGAAAGGGCGGCUAAUACGGGGUGUGCCGGCUGGUCCGCAUGGGCCUGGUCGGGAUAGUUUCAUCUUCGGGUGUUUCGGUGGGGGAUGGGCUCGCGGCCUAUCAGCUUGUUGGUGGGGUGAUGGCCCACCAAGGCGGUGACGGGUAGCCGGCCUGAGAGGGUGGGCGGCCACACUGGGACUGAGACACGGCCCAGACUCCUGCGGGAGGCAGCAGUGGGGGGUAUUGCACAAUGGGCGGAAGCCUGAUGCAGCGACGUCGCGUGAGGGAUGGAGGCCUUCGGGUUGUGAACCUCUUUCUCCGGUGGUGAAGGCCCUGUCCGUUGCGGCGGGGUUGACGGUAGCCGGGUAUGAAGCGCCGGCUAACUACGUG